This 428-nucleotide ribosomal RNA is filed under the name uncultured bacterium. Its description in RNAcentral is "bacterial SSU rRNA". It matches the Rfam family "Bacterial small subunit ribosomal RNA", at positions 354 to 796 of the family's 1533-position model. The record is from RNAcentral.
GUAGGGAAUAUUGCACAAUGGGGGAAACCCUGAUGCAGCGACGCCGCGUGAGUGAUGAAGGCCUUCGGGUCGUAAAGCUCUGUCGUAUGGGACUAACACAAUGAAGGUACCAUGCAAGAAAGGAUCGGCUAACUUCGUGCCAGCAGCCGCGGUAAGACGAGGGAUCCUAGCGUUGUUCGGAAUCAUUGGGCGUAAAGCGGGUGUAGGCGGAUUUAUAAGUCAGGUGUGAAAUCCCAGGGCUCAACCCUGGAAGUGCACUUGAUACUGUAAAUCUUGAGUGUGGUAGAGGUUACUGGAAUUGUUGGUGUAGUGGUGAAAUACGUAGAUAUCAACAGGAAUACCGGAGGCGUAGGCGAGUAACUGGGCCAACACUGACGCUGAGACCCGAAAGCGUGGGGAUCAAACAGGAUUAGAUACCCGAGUAGUCC